Non-coding RNA from Mus musculus (house mouse), 107 nucleotides. The record is from Rfam. Lineage: Eukaryota; Metazoa; Chordata; Mammalia; Rodentia; Muridae.
AGAUAUGACUGAGGGAUCUGGCUGUGACGUCCGUCACCUCAUUGAUCGCAGUUGAGCUGACUAAGCUGGCUGGCCAGGUGGGCCUGCCCUUCCUCCCCCAGCAUUCU